UGUGCACCAAAGCACUUAUUUCUCCAUUGCAGGAGUUGUGAAGCAGAACCACAGGAAGGCAGCUCAACCAGGGGGAUCCUGUUGCUUACCUCCAGUACGUGAGGGGGUGGCAAGGACUCUGGCCCCACGGCAAGAAGACCAACCCUACUGAAGAAUUCUCUACAUAUGGACCAUGAUAUGCAGCUAGAAAUCACCAAGCAGAGAUGUUCCAAGUAUCAAUUUUGUGACAGGAGUAUUUAGAAGAGAAGCAUCAUGAUGCUUGCAUCUUACAUUCAAGUGGUUUGACAAAAACAUCGACAUUAAUUCCUUGAGUUUCUUUUCUACAAAAGCACUGGCUAUUAAUUCUGAAACAACUUUCUGUGUAUUCUAAAAAGGCUCAAAUAAAUACGUUGCAGAUAAAUGAAGCCACUUUUCUCACUGUUGAAGAAGAAAAUUACAGAUAUGAAAACAGACAGGGUCUGCUCUGUUGGCCAGGCUGGAGCGCAGUGUCACAAUGUCUACUCACUGCAGGCUCUACCUCCUGGGCUCAAGCGAUUCUCACACCUCAGCCUCAAGAAUGGCUCAGACUACAGGCAUGUACCUCUGUGCCUGGCUAAGAUUUGUAGUUUUUUGGUAGACACAGGGUCUCACUAUGUUGCCCAGGCUGGUCUUGAACUCUAUAGUGUUUGAUCAUAGAAGUGGAGAUACUAACCAAAAAUCUUUUCAAAUUAAGCCUAAUAAACACAGACAUAAUAAUCUGACUAUAUUCAAACAAAUCGAAUAGUUAGUGUGCAGAUCCUCUUUCUAGAAAACCAAGUGCCAUUUUUUAAAAAAUCAAAGACUUAAUGAGCAAUUCUUUUUGUGCAAAGGUUGAUCAAGGGCUCACUGUAUUUUAUAUGGUUGUGUGGGAAAAUGCAUUACUAGUUUAUUAUGGCUUGGGUCCAUUCUCAAGGUGCCUCGUUUUUGUCCUAGAAAUGGAGUUUCUAUAUCAAUCUGCUUCAUAACCUUGGGGAGUCUUGUGAUGAGUACUGGUGGAAAAGCGUUUAGAUGAAGAUAAAUGAAAGCCUUACUAAGCCAAAUUCAUUUUAUUUAGACAUGCAAGUCACAUGGAAAUAAAUGUUAUUUAGGAGUAAUGUAAGUUGUAAAUCUGUUUUUUCCUUAACAUGAAUUGUAUAUGUUUAGAACUGCCUGGUGUAUAGUCUGGGCCAGGGGCCAGUUUUUCUCGGACUAAGGCUAAAUCCUGUAAAUUCA
Molecule: long non-coding RNA, 1230 nt
Filed under: Homo sapiens (human)
Lineage: Eukaryota; Metazoa; Chordata; Mammalia; Primates; Hominidae
Description: HSALNT0311967
Source: RNAcentral